This 883-nucleotide ribosomal RNA is filed under the name uncultured Actinomycetes bacterium. RNAcentral describes it as "bacterial SSU rRNA". It matches the Rfam family "Bacterial small subunit ribosomal RNA", at positions 65 to 951 of the family's 1533-position model. Lineage: Bacteria; Bacillati; Actinomycetota; Actinomycetes. The record is from RNAcentral.
AGCGACGCAUUCCUUAGCCCGUAAGGGCGGGUUUGACGGAGCGGCGAACGGGUGCGUAACACGUGACCAAUCUGCCCCGAAGACCGGGAUAGCCCGGGGAAACCCGGAUUAAUACCGGAUGACCUCAUCAUCACGCAUGUGGAGAUGAGCAAAGGUUCAGGCGCUUCGGGAUGAGGUCGCGGCCCAUCAGCUUGUUGGUGAGGUAACGGCUCACCAAGGCAAUGACGGGUAGCUGGUCUGAGAGGACGAUCAGCCACACUGGAACUGAGAUACGGUCCAGACUCCUACGGGAGGCAGCAGGAGGGAAUCUUGCGCAAUGGGCGAAAGCCUGACGCAGCGAUGCCGCGUGGGGGAUGAAUGCCUUAGGGUUGUAAACCCCUUUCACGAGGGAAGAAACUGACGGUACCUCGAGAAGAAGCCCCGGCCAACUACGUGCCAGCAGCCGCGGUAAUACGUAGGGGGCGAGCGUUGUCCGGAUUUAUUGGGCGUAAAGGGCUCGUAGGCGGCUUGGCAAGUCGGCCGUGAAAACCCAGGGCUCAACUCUGGGACGCCGGUCGAUACUGCCAUGGCUAGGGUCCGGUAGAGGGGAAUGGAAUUCCCGGUGUAGCGGUGAAAUGCGCAGAUAUCGGGAGGAACACCAGUAGCGAAGGCGGUUCCCUGGGCCGGCACCGACGCUGAGGAGCGAAAGCGUGGGGAGCAAACAGGAUUAGAUACCCUGGUAGUCCACGCCGUAAACGUUGGGUACUAGGCGUGGCGUCUUAUCAACGGAUGCCGUGCUCGAAGCUAACGCGUUAAGUACCCCGCCUGGGGAGUACGGCCGCAAGGCUAAAACUCAAAGGAAUUGACGGGAGCCCGCACAAGCGGCGGAGCAUGCGGCUUAAUU